Molecule: ribosomal RNA, 253 nt
Filed under: uncultured bacterium
Lineage: Bacteria
Description: partial 16S ribosomal RNA
Rfam family: Bacterial small subunit ribosomal RNA
Source: RNAcentral
UACGUAGGGGGCGAGCGUUGUCCGGAAUCAUGGGGCGUAAAGCGCGUGUAGGCGGCCCGGUAAGUCCGCUGUGAAAGUCCAGGGCUCAACCCUGGGAUGCCGGUGGAUACUGUCGGGCUAGAGUCCGGAAGAGGAGUGUGGAAUUCCUGGUGUAGCGGUGAAAUGCGCAGAUAUCAGGAGGAACACCAAUGGCGAAGGCAGCACUCUGGGACGUGACUGACGCUGAGACGCGAAAGCGUGGGGAGCAAACAGG